RNAcentral lists this unclassified non-coding RNA (44 nucleotides) under Turnip yellow mosaic virus. RNAcentral's name for it is "TYMV PSEUDOKNOT from Turnip yellow mosaic virus (PDB 1A60, chain A)". Lineage: Riboviria; Orthornavirae; Kitrinoviricota; Alsuviricetes; Tymovirales; Tymoviridae. The record is from RNAcentral.
GGGAGCUCAACUCUCCCCCCCUUUUCCGAGGGUCAUCGGAACCA